This 253-nucleotide ribosomal RNA is filed under the name uncultured bacterium. RNAcentral's name for it is "partial 16S ribosomal RNA". It matches the Rfam family "Bacterial small subunit ribosomal RNA", at positions 524 to 776 of the family's 1533-position model. The record is from RNAcentral.
UACGUAGGUGGCAAGCGUUGUCCGGAUUUACUGGGUGUAAAGGGCGUGCAGCCGGAGAGACAAGUCAGACGUGAAAUCCACGGGCUCAACCCGUGAACUGCAUUUGAAACUGUUUCCCUUGAGUGUCGGAGAGGUAAUCGGAAUUCCUUGUGUAGCGGUGAAAUGCGUAGAUAUAAGGAAGAACACCAGUGGCGAAGGCGGAUUACUGGACGAUAACUGACGGUGAGGCGCGAAAGCGUGGGGAGCAAACAGG